This 479-nucleotide ribosomal RNA is filed under the name uncultured bacterium. RNAcentral describes it as "bacterial SSU rRNA". It matches the Rfam family "Bacterial small subunit ribosomal RNA", at positions 32 to 521 of the family's 1533-position model. The record is from RNAcentral.
AAUCAACGCUGGCGGCGUGCCUCAGACAUGCAAGUCGAACGAUUAAAGCUCUCUUCGGAGAGUGCAUAGAGUGGCGCACGGGUGAGUAACACGUAAGUAAUCUACCUUCGAGUGGGGAAUAACGUCCGGAAACGGACGCUAAUACCGCAUAAUGCAGCGGCAUCGUAAGAUGACAGUUGUUAAAGAUUUAUCGCUUGAAGAGGAGCUUGCGGCAGAUUAGCUAGUUGGUAAGGUAAUGGCUUACCAAGGCUACGAUCUGUAACCGGUCUUAGAGGACGGUCGGUCACACUGACACUGAAUAACGGGUCAGACUCCUACGGGAGGCAGCAGUCGGGAAUUUUGGGCAAUGGGCGAAAGCCUGACCCAGCAACGCCGCGUGAAGGAUGAAGUAUUUCGGUAUGUAAACUUCGAAAGAAUAGGAAGAAUAAAUGACGGUACUAUUUAUAAGGUCCGGCUAACUACGUGCCAGCAGCCGCGGU